Molecule: ribosomal RNA, 253 nt
Filed under: uncultured bacterium
Lineage: Bacteria
Description: partial 16S ribosomal RNA
Rfam family: Bacterial small subunit ribosomal RNA
Source: RNAcentral
UACGUAGGGUGCAAGCGUUGUCCGGAAUUAUUGGGCGUAAAGAGCUCGUAGGCGGCCUGUCGCGUCGGCUGUGAAAACCCGGGGCUCAACCCCGGGCCUGCAGUCGAUACGGGCAGGCUAGAGUCCGGCAGGGGAGACUGGAAUUCCUGGUGUAGCGGUGAAAUGCGCAGAUAUCAGGAGGAACACCGGUGGCGAAGGCGGGUCUCUGGGCCAAUACUGACGCUGAGGAGCGAAAGCGUGGGGAGCGAACAGG